This 1168-nucleotide long non-coding RNA is filed under the name Homo sapiens (human). Its description in RNAcentral is "HSALNT0085470". The record is from RNAcentral. Lineage: Eukaryota; Metazoa; Chordata; Mammalia; Primates; Hominidae.
UAGACACCAAGCCAUCGGGGUGGUUUGUCUCAGUCCCCACCUCUCCCAGGUCCCCCAAAUAAUUCAUAGUCUCAGGGAAUGAUGAGCUGGCAGCAGCUUUUCCAUUCUUUUCUCAGCAAGUGGUUCUCACCCCAGAUGUCUGUUUUAGAGUACAGAGCCUUGUUUUGUUUUUGUGCUUUAAAUGGAAUUAUUUACUUUUAUUACAGAGAAAGCUUUUCUUCUGAUCUCUGUUGCCUGCUGGCUGGGGGUCAGGAAGCUUGAAACCUUGGCCCCAUGCUCUGAGCCAUUCUUGAUGUCAUUCUGGAAGGUCUCUGGAUUGUUUUGACAAAGACUUAAAUUACUGGGAACCGAAGGCCCAUGGGACGUGACCAACUCAGCAUUCCACUGGAGGCUGUAUGAUCAAACAGCAAUCUGUUUAUCAUGAAUGCAGGAUUUGAGCAAACUCAUGACUGCUCCUGCCAACAGAAGGUUUGCUGGAGGCAAUCACUGCCUGGCGCCGAGGAUAUCUACUGCGACAUCUAGAGAAUACAGUCUUGCAAGCCUACUCUGGACUGAGCAGCUGACCCCUUCUUUCACCACCCCCACCUUCUCACUGUCUCUUUUGCCUAAUAAAUACGGAGGGCUGUGUAAAGCUCAGAGCCCUUGUCCACUAGAGGAAGGUGCCCCCGACCUCUUCUUCCAAAUAUACUCUUUUGUCUCUUGUCUUUAUUCACGUGUUCACCCCGCUUUGUUCAGUCCAACAGGUUCGCGGCAUAGUGGCACCCCAAACAGCGACAGGAUCGGGUGUUCUACAAAUAUUCACCAAAAUUCAUGCAUAAAAAUCUUCACUGACUUAAUUAUAAUAUUAAAAACAACAGAAACAUGACGCUGCACUAAAGAAGGCAGACAAAUGAUUUUAUGCCAUAGGAUUCCAUUUCUAUACAUUUUAAACAGAUAAAACUAAGUUGUGCUUUUGAGGUAGCAUAGUGAUUAUUUUGGAAGAGGUAUUGAUGGGAAGGAAUGUUUCUGGGAGGUAGAUGAUUUUUUAUUCCUUGAUUUGAAUUUUGGGUACACAAAUGUGUUCAGUGUAUAAAAUCCAUUGAACUUUAUAUUUAUGGUUUGUGUACUUUCCUUUGUUAUGUAAAUCUUCACUAUAAUUUCAAUUAAUCAAAAUAUCGCUAACAUGAAA